UACGAGGGGUGCAAGCGUUGCUCGGAAUUAUUGGGCGUAAAGGGUAGGUAGGUGGUCUCAUUUGUCUGGGGUGAAAGCCUCGAGCUUAACUCGAGAAGUGCCUCGGAAACGGUGAGACUAGAGUCUUGGAGAGGGUCGUGGAAUUCCUGGUGUAGCGGUGAAAUGCGCAGAUAUCAGGAGGAACACCGGUGGCGAAGGCGGGUCUCUGGGCAACAACUGACGCUGAGGAGCGAAAGCGUGGGGAGCGAACAGG
Molecule: ribosomal RNA, 253 nt
Filed under: uncultured bacterium
Lineage: Bacteria
Description: partial 16S ribosomal RNA
Rfam family: Bacterial small subunit ribosomal RNA
Source: RNAcentral